AUAAGAACUAGAACCGUAACCGGUUCCCAAAAGCAAAAGUAUUGUUUCCUGUUAGAAGAUACAAAGCCAAAGACUCAUACGGACUUCGGCUAAGCCAUCAAAGUUUUGAGAAGCAAUAAGAAGCUUGGUUAGUGUUUUGGAGUCAAAUAUGACUUGAUGUCAUGUGUAUGAUUGAGCAUAAGAACUAAAACCGCAACUGGUUCCCAAAAGCUAAAGUAGUGUUUCCUUGUUAGAAGAUACAAAGAUAGAGACUCAUACGGAUUUCGGCUACACCAUCAAAACUUUGAGAAGCAAUAAGAAAUUUGGUAAGUGCUUUGGAUU
Molecule: small RNA, 321 nt
Filed under: Arabidopsis thaliana (thale cress)
Lineage: Eukaryota; Viridiplantae; Streptophyta; Magnoliopsida; Brassicales; Brassicaceae
Description: ATSL198120
Source: RNAcentral